RNAcentral lists this transfer RNA (66 nucleotides) under Bacteriophage sp. RNAcentral describes it as "tRNA-OTHER". It matches the Rfam family "tRNA". From Rfam's summary of the family: Transfer RNA (tRNA) molecules are approximately 80 nucleotides in length. Their secondary structure includes four short double-helical elements and three loops (D, anti-codon, and T loops). The record is from RNAcentral.
CAGAAUAUAGCUUAAUUUGGAAGAGCGACUGUAAAGUAGGUACUGGUUCGAGUCCAGUUAUUUUAU